This is a long non-coding RNA of Neltuma alba, 323 nucleotides long. RefSeq lists it as uncharacterized. The transcript has 2 exons. The record is from RefSeq and is a predicted model, not a curated record. NCBI's taxonomy places the organism in Eukaryota, Viridiplantae, Streptophyta, Magnoliopsida, Fabales, Fabaceae.
UCGUCUCUAACCCCUCUCCCCUCUCUUCUACAGCUUCUCCAUAGCAGUAGUGACUCCCCUAUGGCCGGCGACUAGAUACUCAACUGGAACCAUAAGAAGCAAACCCCUCUAUCCUUUAUCAUAACCACAGGCGGUAGCAGUGGAGGCGACAAUUCCCCUGUAGUGGGCGACAAGAUGCUCGACCGAAACCGUUAGAACCGCAACCACUCUCAUCAUUUCUCAUAACCACAAGUUCAGGCACAGGCGGAAAACUGGGCACUAUGUAAAGUCACUUGCCUAAGAUAAAAUAUUCAUUUGCCAUCAGACUGUUUUUGUAAAAAUAU